RNAcentral lists this ribosomal RNA (253 nucleotides) under uncultured bacterium. RNAcentral's name for it is "partial 16S ribosomal RNA". It matches the Rfam family "Bacterial small subunit ribosomal RNA", at positions 524 to 776 of the family's 1533-position model. The record is from RNAcentral.
AACGUAGGAGCCAAGCGUUAUCCGAAUUCACUGGGCGUAAAGCGCGUGCAGGCGGCCUUGUAAGUUGGAUGUGAAAGCUCCCGGCUCAACUGGGAGAGGACGUUCAAUACUGCGAGGCUAGAGGGCGAUAGAGGGAGGUGGAAUUCCCGGUGUAGUGGUGAAAUGCGUAGAUAUCGGGAGGAACACCAGUGGCGAAAGCGGCCUCCUGGGUCGCACCUGACGCUCAGACGCGAAAGCUAGGGGAGCGAACGGG